RNAcentral lists this non-coding RNA (21 nucleotides) under Arabidopsis thaliana (thale cress). Lineage: Eukaryota; Viridiplantae; Streptophyta; Magnoliopsida; Brassicales; Brassicaceae. The record is from RNAcentral.
UUUUAGUAUUUUUAGGGCCUA